This 1151-nucleotide long non-coding RNA is filed under the name Anser brachyrhynchus (Pink-footed goose). RNAcentral describes it as "lncRNA (ENSABRG00000005115.1)". The record is from RNAcentral. Lineage: Eukaryota; Metazoa; Chordata; Aves; Anseriformes; Anatidae.
AUGUGGUUUGCACCUCUACCUGAGUACAUCUGGUUUGCAGUGCUUGUCUGUCUUGGUUGUUGCUCCAUACACCUUUUGGGGAAGGUGAAGAGUGCCUGCAGCACAGCGAGCUUUCCACGGGGAUGGCAGCUGGGUGCAGCUUUGCCAGUUUUAUUACCUGUACAGAUACUGACGGCACCAAAACACCAUCCCUCUCAACUUUCCUCCCUACAAAAAAACAGGACAACUGUUUCUAUGACCAACCUCCAGUAAGAGUUAUGGAGCUGAAUUUCCAGAAGGGGAAAGCAAGGAAAAAAAAACAACACAACUUUAGCUUUGACCUGGGGAAAAGCCAGAUUCUGUCACUUCCAUUCUGUACAUCGAAGGUCCAAAGUACUCGAGGUCCAAAGCUAUGACAAAUUGUUCCCUCUUUUGCAGAGCAGAUUCUGGUGGGGUUUGAUGUAAUCAAGCAGGGGCUUGCUGUGACUGCAAAGAAAAUAUUGUCUUAAACAGCAUCUUUGAGACAUCGAUACGCUUCCAAAGGAAAGAAGCAGCACAUCUUGUAUAAUCUCAUGCCCCUUGUCUCUGCUGCACAGUUUGGCAUUUAAACACAUUUUUCAACAACCAAAAAUCAAGUUGAGGGGGGAUUCACUGUCGCAUGCGUGGGAGACACAGCUACACACAACGCAGCUGGCUUCAGCUAAUAGCUGGGCUGCAGAGGAAAUCCUUCACAAACCUUCACAAUUGGUUCUUUAAAAUUUAUUUUUCUAUCUGUAGUUCAAAACAUUGGUUUUACAUCCCAAUAGUAACACAGGGCUACGUUGCUCAAAUGAACUUUAAGCAGUGCUGAAUUUCAUCUGUUGUUAUAAAGACAGUGAACUGCAGUUAUUUUGGACAAUUCUGUAUGCCGACAGUCACUUCAGUAAAUUAUUCGAGAAUUAUAUUUUUUUAAACAGAGGCAAGAUGUGUCCCAAAGAGAUUUCACUUGUCUAAUUAAAAUCCAUUUAAAGAUGUUAUCCAAGUGGGCUUCACUGGAAAAGGAGAAGUUAAUAUUGUACUGCAGAGUACCAUAGUUUUUUUCUAAAAGCAAAAGGAGUCCCAUGCAUUUUCAACCUCAAAUCGUUAAAUUUUUCUCUUACCAAAAUUCAAUAAACCAAAUCCUCUGUAACUCA